Molecule: ribosomal RNA, 253 nt
Filed under: uncultured bacterium
Lineage: Bacteria
Description: partial 16S ribosomal RNA
Rfam family: Bacterial small subunit ribosomal RNA
Source: RNAcentral
UACGGAGGGUGCAAGCGUUAUCCGGAUUCACUGGGUUUAAAGGGUGCGUAGGCGGGCAGGUAAGUCCGACGUGAAAUCUCCGAGCCUAACUCGGAAACUGCGUUGGAUACUAUCCGGCUAGAGGAAUGGAGGGGAGACUGGAAUACUUGGUGUAGCAGUGAAAUGCGUAGAUAUCAAGUGGAACACCAGUGGCGAAGGCGAGUCUCUGGACACUUCCUGACGCUGAGGCACGAAAGCCAGGGGAGCAAACGGG